Molecule: ribosomal RNA, 450 nt
Filed under: uncultured bacterium
Lineage: Bacteria
Description: partial 16S ribosomal RNA
Rfam family: Bacterial small subunit ribosomal RNA
Source: RNAcentral
GUGGGGAAUCUUCCACAAUGGACGAAAGUCUGAUGGAGCAACGCCGCGUGAGUGAAGAAGGGUUUCGGCUCGUAAAGCUCUGUUGUCGGGGACGAAUGUGCAGUAUUUGAAUAAAGUAGUGUAAUGACGGUACCUGACGAGGAAGCCACGGCUAACUACGUGCCAGCAGCCGCGGUAAUACGUAGGUGGCAAGCGUUGUCCGGAAUUAUUGGGCGUAAAGGGAGCGCAGGCGGGAAGGUAAGUCGGUCUUACAAGUGCGGGGCUCAACCCCGUGAUGGGAUCUAAACUAUCUUUCUUGAGUGCAGGAGAGGAAAGUGGAAUUCCUAGUGUAGCGGUGAAAUGCGUAGAUAUUAGGAGGAACACCAGUGGCGAAGGCGACUUUCUGGACUGUAACUGACGCUGAGGCUCGAAAGCCAGGGGAGCGAACGGGAUUAGAUACCCGUGUAGUCC